AGGUUCGAUUCUGGCUCAGGAUGAACGCUGGCGGCGUGCUUAAUACAUGCAAGUCGAACGAAGAUAUUCGCUGAUGCGAUUCGUCAAAUCUUGAAAUAUCUUAGUGGCGGACUGGUGAGUAACGCGUGGGUAACCUGCCUUACACAGGGGGAUAACAGUUAGAAAUGACUGCUAAUACCGCAUAAGCGCACGGUAUCGCAUGAUACAGUGUGAAAAAGAUUUAUCGGGUGUAAGAUGGACCCGCGUCUGAUUAGCUAGUUGGUGAGGUAACGGCCCACCAAGGCGACGAUCAGUAGCCGGCCUGAGAGGGUGAACGGCCACAUUGGGACUGAGACACGGCCCAAACUCCUACGGGAGGCAGCAGUAGGGAAUAUUGGACAAUGGGGGCAACCCUGAUCCAAGCGACGCCGCGUGAGUGAAGAAGUAUUUCGGUACGUAAAGCUCUAUCAGCAGGGAAGAAAAUGACGGUACCUGACUAGGAAGCACCGGCUAAAUACGUGCCAGCCGCAGC
RNAcentral lists this ribosomal RNA (511 nucleotides) under uncultured bacterium. RNAcentral describes it as "bacterial SSU rRNA". It matches the Rfam family "Bacterial small subunit ribosomal RNA", at positions 9 to 518 of the family's 1533-position model. The record is from RNAcentral.